Metopolophium dirhodum (rose-grain aphid) is the source of this 353-nucleotide long non-coding RNA. RefSeq lists it as uncharacterized. Lineage: Eukaryota; Metazoa; Arthropoda; Insecta; Hemiptera; Aphididae. The transcript has 3 exons. The record is from RefSeq and is a predicted model, not a curated record.
CGAGGGUGGAGCAUGAUGUUGCUACUCGUUACGGGUCGUUAGCAGACAAAAAAUUGCAGUAAUGAUCGAGACAUGCAUGACGGCCAGAAUAUUGUGUUUUUCCGAUGAUGAGUGAGAAGAAAAUGAACAGACGAAUAAAGGAUAUGGAGACCUUACAGUUGAUGAUUUUAAUUCACCCAGAAAAUCCUUAAAAACUUAAUAAUGCCUAAUUCACAUACACUUAUUUCAUUCAGUGGAUUAUACUUAUAUUUUCAAAACUGAAAUAUACGAUGUACCACUUACAAGCAACUAGGAAGUCGAUCAAAUAUCCUGACAAUUUUUCAGACGUUGACUUUCAUGAAGAUAAUUCUACC